RNAcentral lists this ribosomal RNA (253 nucleotides) under uncultured bacterium. RNAcentral describes it as "partial 16S ribosomal RNA". It matches the Rfam family "Bacterial small subunit ribosomal RNA", at positions 524 to 776 of the family's 1533-position model. The record is from RNAcentral.
UACGUAGGGACCGAGCGUUGUCCGGAAUUAUUGGGCGUAAAGAGCUCGUAGGCGGCCUGUCGCGUCGGAUGUGAAAGCCCGGGGCUUAACCCCGGGUCUGCAUUCGAUACGGGCAGGCUAGAGUGUGGUAGGGGAGAUCGGAAUUCCUGGUGUAGCGGUGAAAUGCGCAGAUAUCAGGAGGAACACCGGUGGCGAAGGCGGAUCUCUGGGCCAUUACUGACGCUGAGGAGCGAAAGCGUGGGGAGCGAACAGG